AGUGGAUGGGGAGCAACCUAGUUGUGCGUGUGUAAAGGUAGUGCCAAGAAAAGCGAUGAUCAUGUUGAAAAUCAAUUCCCGGUACCCGAAACCGACACAGGUGGGCAAGUAGAGAAUACUAAGGGGCGCGAGGUAACUCUCUCCAAGGAACUCGGCAAAAUGACCCCGUAACUUAGGGAGAAGGGGUGCCACCGAGAGGUGGUCGCAGUGAAGAGGCCCAGGCGACUGUUUAGCAAAAACAUAGGUCUCUGCAAACUCGAAAGAGGAGGUAUAGGGGCUGACGCCUGCCCAGUGCCGGAAGGUUAAAGAAGUUGGUCAGUUUUAGGAUGAAGCUAGCGACUGAAGCCCCGGUGAACGGCGGCCGUAACUAUAACGGUCCUAAGGUAGCGAAAUUCCUUGUCGGGUAAGUUCCGACCCGCACGAAAGGCGUAACGAUCUGGGCGCUGUCUCGGAGAGAGGCUCGGCGAAAUAGGAUUGUCUGUGAAGAUACGGACUACCUGCAUUUGGACAGAAAGACCCUAUGAAGCUUUACUAUAGCUUGGAAUUGUGUUCGGGCUUCCUGUGCGCAGGAUAGGUGGGAGGCGUAGAAGGUAUUCUUGUGGGGAUACUGGAGCCAACGGUGAGAUACCACUCUCAGGAGGCUAGAAUUCUAACUUAAUUAAGGACAGUUUCAGGUGGGUAGUUUGACUGGGGCGGUCGCCUCCAAAAAGGUAACGGAGGCGUACAAAGGUUCCCUCAGACUGGUUGGAAAUCAGUCGAAGAGUGCAAAGGCAGAAGGGAGCUUGACUGCGAGAAGUACAGUUCGAGCAGGGUGGAAACACGGUCUUAGUGAUCCGACGGUGCUGUGUGGAAGGGCCGUCGCUCAACGGAUAAAAGUUACUCUAGGAUAACAGGCUGAUCUCCCCCAAGAGUUCACAUCGACGGGGAGGUUUGGCACCUCGAUGUCGGCUCAUCGCAACCUGGGGCGGAAGUACGUCCCAAGGGUUGGGCUGUUCGCCCAUUAAAGCGGUACGUGAGCUGGGUUCAGAACGUCGUGAGACAGUUCGGUCCAUAUCCGAUGUAGGCGUGAGAAUAUUGAGAGGAGCCUUCCUUAGUACGAGAGGACCGGGGAGGACGCACCGCUGGUGUACCUGUUAUGAUGCCAAUUGUAAACGCAGGGUAGCCAAGUGCGGAGAGGAUAACCGCUGAAAGCAUCUAAGUGGGAAGCCCACCUCAAGAUGAGUAUUCUGGUGUAAGGUCACGGGAAGACGACCCGUAAAUAGGCACGAGGUGGAAGUGCAGAGAUGUAUGAAGCCGAAGUGUACUAAUAGACCGUCGGCUUGACC
RNAcentral lists this ribosomal RNA (1325 nucleotides) under metagenome. RNAcentral describes it as "bacterial LSU rRNA". It matches the Rfam family "Bacterial large subunit ribosomal RNA", at positions 1561 to 2925 of the family's 2925-position model. The record is from RNAcentral.